AUUGAACGCUGGCGGCAUGCCUAACACAUGCAAGUCGAGCGGAUGAAGGGAGCUUGCUCCUGUAUUCAGCGGCGGACGGGUGAGUAAUGCCUAGGAAUCUGCCUGGUAGUUGGGGAUAACGUCCGGAAACGGGCGCUAAUACCGCAUACGUCCUGAGGUAGAAAGUGGGGGAUCUUCGGACCUCACGCUAUCAGCUGAGCCUAGGUCGGAUUAGCUAGUUGGUGGGGUAAAGGCCUACCAAGGCGACGAUCCGUAACUGGUCUGAGAGGAUGAUCAGUCACACUGGAACUGAGACACGGUCCAGACUCCUACGGGAGGCAGCAGUGGGGAAUAUUGGACAAUGGGCGAAAGCCUGAUCCAGCCAUGCCGCGUGUGUGAAGAAGGUCUUCGGAUUGUAAAGCACUUUAAGUUGGGAGGAAGGGCAGUAAGUUAAUACCUGGCUGUUUUGACGUUACCAACAGAAUAAGCACCGGCUAACUUCGUG
RNAcentral lists this ribosomal RNA (484 nucleotides) under uncultured bacterium. Its description in RNAcentral is "partial 16S ribosomal RNA". It matches the Rfam family "Bacterial small subunit ribosomal RNA", at positions 30 to 507 of the family's 1533-position model. The record is from RNAcentral.